UGAGGGAGAGGAGACAUACAGUCAGGGAGAAUAGAUAUUCAGAUUCCUUCAUUUUACCUGCCCUCCAGAAGGCUGUGAAGAGACAACCAGUGAAUGGGAUAGAUUACAGAAAGAGUGUGAGCCUGAGGGACUCUGGAAGUGGCAGUGACUUUGCCUCGGAGCUGAAGCAACUUGCAUGGUUAUUACUCAGCGUGCGUGGGGCCGGGUGAACGCUUCACCCAGCUGGUGGCAAAAUGGAGCAUGGCUCAGUCCCAGCCUGGGGAAUCUGACUUUAGCUAGAGAGGCCAAACAAGAUAGAACCUGAAAGUACACCAGAAGCAGCCCAGCAACUUUCACUGGGGAGAGAUCUGCACCUUCUACCCGACUGCGGUUCAAAGUCGAUGCAAAUCCCAUAUCUGCUUUCCCUGGCUAGUUUUCCACACCCCACCCACCGAGGGCCUCAACCCUGCUGCAGGAAAGGUUGAAGACGGGAAAGCUGAUCAUUCUCCAGUGGAUAAAUAGCUGACUUUAUUCCGUGCCCAGAUCGCAAAACCCUAUUAGCCGAAGGGAAUAGGUCAUGGUUUUAUUUAAAGCUUGUAGAGGGGGUGGCAAAAUAUUUAAGCCCGAAUCCAUUAUGUGACCAGGAUGGAAGACGAGCAAAAAUGAUUUUUCAAUAGGUGUGAGCAGUCGUCAGCAGGAUGAGUCACGGAAAGAUGGCUGGUUCUCCCCAGCCCCAUCGCCUCCCUAAAAAUCACACCCUUUCUCCACCCACACUAGCAAUGCCAGUUUGGUGGCACUGUAUAAGCAAAGUUCAUUAAAGCUUCGAGUGAA
Molecule: long non-coding RNA, 810 nt
Organism: Ornithorhynchus anatinus (platypus)
Lineage: Eukaryota; Metazoa; Chordata; Mammalia; Monotremata; Ornithorhynchidae
Exons: 4
Source: RefSeq, a predicted model, not a curated record